GAUGCAUGUCACCAUUGUGAUGUCAUAAUCACGGUCACCACACUGGUGUCAUUUUCUCCAGAUGGGGCCUUGUGUUGCACCUUUGCUUGGAUUGGCUAUCCUCGACUCUCAUUGGAGCUUUUCAGUAUCUACAGAGAUCAUCUGAAAAGGGAGAUUCCAAUCUUGGGCUGAAAAAGCAUAAUGGCAGUGGGUCCUGGACUUUUAUUUUAAGUGGAAUUAUAUGGGAGGAGUGGUGAAGUAGCCCAAGCAAACUCCUAUUUUUGUGAAACCAGUUGAAACCCUUUCAGUUCAAUUACCACUGUUAUGAUCUUUAACAUCUUGCUCACAGCCUAGUCAAUUAUGACAGCACCUGCUAAGGUCUGUAAUGAAAAAAAUAUUGUUUUGUGAGACAAGUGACAGUUCCUCUACAUACAGCCUAAUUGGAUGAGAAUCGUUCAUGCUAAGCUAAGGUUAGCAAAUGUUCAGUUACGUCAGAGAACUGAUAUGAUUGGUUCAGGGUGAUACAUGUGACCCAAGCUAAAGCAAGUUAGCCGUUAUGUUUUUGUCCAUGGAAAAUGGCUAAGAUUGCUAUCUCCCCCUGUAAGAACAUCUCUGUAUCUAUGUCCCUACAGUGUUAUCCAUCCAUGUAUGUAAUCUGAUCUGAAGGCAUGCUCAUGAAUGUACUUUUGCAUGCAAAUGUGGUAUAUUUUUCCAUAUACAAUAACUAGACUGAAGUGCUUAUUUUACAGUCCUCACUUGUCCUAGAUUUCAGUGUUCAGUGAGCCCUUAUAUUUCCAAAGACUGGCCAGUGGCCUGAGCAAGAGUUUUGCUUUUUGAAGUGAUGUGAUGUCAUCUAUCGGUCAUCAGAUGUGUUAGUGAUGUCAUAAGAAGAUUAUUAAAUAAUGAUAUUUGUCAGGCAGUGAUGGCAGAGAGAUGCAGCAAGGUUUCCUGGCCCACUCAUCUUUGCGAUGGGGGACUCUAUAGUGAACAUUUAUGGUGGUUAUUCACUAUACAGUGAGUGGGUGGAUGUUCUGAACACAGGAUGUGAUUUCACAUAUGCAGAAGAAGACAGCUGAAUGUCUGGUCAAAUUGUCCUUCAGACCGCGGAUGAAAGGGAAUGAAGGUGAUGAGUAGCUGUGUGUGUGAAUUCCUGUGCAUGAAUGUGCUGUUGAGAAUCAUGAAUGAUUGAAAAUCUUUAGGAAAUGAAAUACAGAAUGAUUAAGUCCAUAGCUAAGUGUACCCAAUGGGUUAGACAUAUUUUUGAAAUCCUAGAUAAGUGAGAAUUAAUUGGUUUGAAAUCCACUGGAGAAAAAGUCAACUGCAGUCAUACCUGUGGUUACACUUUAUCAAGAAUUUCCUUGAAUGAAAUACAGGAAGUCAUUUCAUGGACUGAUGGAGAUGACGUCACAGCCCAGCUGUACAAUGAUGGUUUGAACAGUAUUCCAGGUGCUUCAGCAAAUAACUUAAGACCUUAGAAUCUCCUUGGCUUCGCUGUCCUUGGUCCCCAUAGAUACCAUUCUGCUGUGACAUCAUGUCCAUUGUGGCAUCAUUGUUACUUCACUACUCAAUUCACCUUUGGCUAAGCCCCGCCCCCCUUAGUUACUGUUGCUACGUCCGACAACUUCUGGGCUCUGGUUUUCUGACUGGUUAUCCUAAGACUCUGGUUAGGUAUCAACAACAUGGCUUAUGCUGUGACAGCUCUUCCUGCUGAACUUUUGUCAAACUUUUAUAAAGCAGCAAAUAAAGUGUCCGAUAGGAGUAGACAAAAGGGUCUGCAAUAUGCGUUCGAAGGCUAUAUUCAGGACAUACAGGUGAAACGCAAAGAACAACAAGGCAUCCAAAUAGAGGCAAAAGCAUACCGGUCACAGUGAAAAAAUGAACCACCGCAUAUCCUACUAAUCGAGACGGAGGCUGGGACUGACAAUAUCAAGGAGCAACACUGUUCAUGCAAAGCUGGCUCUACAGGGUUUUGCGCGCACAUCAUUGGGCUUAUCCAUACCCUGGAUCUCUGCAAGGCACAACACAUAAACGCUGUGCCAGUUCAGUCCUCCACAAGCUUACCCCAACAAUGGCAUAAGCCAAGAGGUGCUAAAGUAGCACCACAGCCUGUGACAGCAGUCGUUGUGGCCAGGGCCAAGACAGAGCGAAAACGGAGACCCAUCUUCUGCCAAUACAGCAAUGACAGGGCCAUCUCUGAGGUAACAGAUCAGGAUUUGUUGUUAUUGAGACAGCUGACAGGGACACCUAUGAGCUACAUAGCAAGCAAACCCCAGAUAGAUGUAGUGAUAGGUCAGGAGAAGUACCCUCUUGGAAGUGGCUUGAGCUACCAGCUCCCACUAUUGGACAACACUUCACAAGCAUCCUCC
This is a long non-coding RNA of Alosa alosa (allis shad), 2345 nucleotides long. RefSeq lists it as uncharacterized. The record is from RefSeq and is a predicted model, not a curated record. The transcript is spliced from 4 exons. Lineage: Eukaryota; Metazoa; Chordata; Actinopteri; Clupeiformes; Clupeidae.